Molecule: long non-coding RNA, 237 nt
Filed under: Ananas comosus (pineapple)
Lineage: Eukaryota; Viridiplantae; Streptophyta; Magnoliopsida; Poales; Bromeliaceae
Description: long non-coding RNA (ACOM_LNC040860)
Source: RNAcentral
UGGAUUUUUAAUUUUCUUAGACAUAAGGGCGACCUAGUCGCUUCGGUAAGCACAACCCACCUAAAUUCGCUCUCCGAUUGCUCGUAGUCACUUGCAAUCGGCCUUCCGCGGCACUCGUGACCCGGUUCGGCCCGAACUCUCGCGCGACCACCCGAACGGCCACCAAUCCGCGAUACGUCUGUUCUGGAGUUUAUUCCUCAAUACAACGAUGCUCCAGAUCCGUUUUCGUGAUUUUUG